GCACUGCUGAGGAGUUGCGCAAUAGGACGAAACGGCCGUCCAGUGC
Molecule: non-coding RNA, 46 nt
Filed under: Schistosoma mattheei
Lineage: Eukaryota; Metazoa; Platyhelminthes; Trematoda; Strigeidida; Schistosomatidae
Source: RNAcentral